Molecule: ribosomal RNA, 585 nt
Filed under: Aureobasidium pullulans
Lineage: Eukaryota; Fungi; Ascomycota; Dothideomycetes; Dothideales; Saccotheciaceae
Description: eukaryotic LSU rRNA
Rfam family: 5.8S ribosomal RNA (bases 213-366)
Source: RNAcentral
UUUCCGUAGGUGAACCUGCGGAAGGAUCAUUAAAGAGUAAGGGUGCUCAGCGCCCGACCUCCAACCCUUUGUUGUUAAAACUACCUUGUUGCUUUGGCGGGACCGCUCGGUCUCGAGCCGCUGGGGAUUCGUCCCAGGCGAGCGCCCGCCAGAGUUAAACCAAACUCUUGUUAUUUAACCGGUCGUCUGAGUUAAAAUUUUGAAUAAAUCAAAACUUUCAACAACGGAUCUCUUGGUUCUCGCAUCGAUGAAGAACGCAGCGAAAUGCGAUAAGUAAUGUGAAUUGCAGAAUUCAGUGAAUCAUCGAAUCUUUGAACGCACAUUGCGCCCCUUGGUAUUCCGAGGGGCAUGCCUGUUCGAGCGUCAUUACACCACUCAAGCUAUGCUUGGUAUUGGGCGUCGUCCUUAGUUGGGCGCGCCUUAAAGACCUCGGCGAGGCCACUCCGGCUUUAGGCGUAGUAGAAUUUAUUCGAACGUCUGUCAAAGGAGAGGAACUCUGCCGACUGAAACCUUUAUUUUUCUAGGUUGACCUCGGAUCAGGUAGGGAUACCCGCUGAACUUAAGCAUAUCAAUAAGCGGAGGAAA